This 70-nucleotide transfer RNA is filed under the name Marmota monax (woodchuck). It matches the Rfam family "tRNA". From Rfam's summary of the family: Transfer RNA (tRNA) molecules are approximately 80 nucleotides in length. Lineage: Eukaryota; Metazoa; Chordata; Mammalia; Rodentia; Sciuridae. The record is from Rfam by way of RNAcentral.
GGGGUUGUAGCUCAGUGGUAGAGUGCUUGUCUUGCAUAUGCAGGCCCUGGGUUCUAUCCUCAGCACCCCA